Molecule: ribosomal RNA, 483 nt
Filed under: uncultured bacterium
Lineage: Bacteria
Description: partial 16S ribosomal RNA
Rfam family: Bacterial small subunit ribosomal RNA
Source: RNAcentral
AUUGAACGCUGGCGGCAUGCUUUACACAUGCAAGUCGAACGGCAGCACGGGCUUCGGCCUGGUGGCGAGUGGCGAACGGGUGAGUAAUAUAUCGGAACGUACCCAGCAGUGGGGGAUAACGUAGCGAAAGUUACGCUAAUACCGCAUACGAUCUAUGGAUGAAAGCAGGGGACCGCAAGGCCUUGUGCUCCUGGAGCGGCCGAUAUCUGAUUAGCUAGUUGGUGAGGUAAAGGCUCACCAAGGCGACGAUCAGUAGCUGGUCUGAGAGGACGACCAGCCACACUGGAACUGAGACACGGUCCAGACUCCUACGGGAGGCAGCAGUGGGGAAUUUUGGACAAGGGGCGCAAGCCUGAUCCAGCAAUGCCGCGGGAGUGAAGAAGGCCUGCGGGUUGUAAAGCUCUUUUGUAAGGGAAGAAACGGUAGAGGCUAAUAUCCUUUGCUAAUGACGGUACCUGAAGAAUAAGCACCGGCUAACUACGU